Dendronephthya gigantea is the source of this 298-nucleotide long non-coding RNA. RefSeq lists it as uncharacterized. The record is from RefSeq and is a predicted model, not a curated record. Lineage: Eukaryota; Metazoa; Cnidaria; Anthozoa; Malacalcyonacea; Nephtheidae. The transcript is spliced from 3 exons.
GAUCUGCCAUUAUUUGCAAAUCGGGAUCUGGUGAUCAAAAUUUACCCUUUAGCUUACAAGAACACGGCGAUGAUGAAAGUCACUUUGACAGUCUUGAUUUUUCUUGCUAAUUCUAUGCUCAUCAAUGCUGGAACAAACUUCGACGCGGCUUGGUCAAGUGAUUGUCCAUCAGGCCAAUCCAUCCGGCAUAUCAGCAGCGUUCAUAGCAACUGGCAUGAAGAUCGUUCAUGGACAUGGAAAUGCAAACAUGACUCCAUAAUAACAAGUUCAUGCCGAUGGUCUGGGUAUGUAAAUUCGU